GAUGAACGCUAGCUACAGGCUUAACACAUGCAAGUCGAGGGGAAACGGCAUCGAAAGCUUGCUUUUGAUGGGCGUCGACCGGCGCACGGGUGAGUAACGCGUAUCCAACCUGCCCAUCACUUGGGAAUAACCUUGCGAAAGUAAGACUAAUGCCCAAUGACAUCCCACGAAGGCAUCCGAAUGGGAUUAAAGAUUUAUCGGUGAUGGAUGGGGAUGCGUCUGAUUAGCUUGUUGGCGGGGUGACGGCCCACCAAGGCAACGAUCAGUAGGGGUUCUGAGAGGAAGGUCCCCCACAUUGGAACUGAGACACGGUCCAAACUCCUACGGGAGACAGCAGUGAGGAAUAUUGGUCAAUGGGCGAGAGCCUGAACCAGCCAAGUAGCGUGCAGGAUGACGGCCCUAUGGGUUGUAAACUGCUUUUAUAAGGGAAUAAAGUGGGUCACGUGUGACUUUUUGCAUGUACCUUAUGAAUAAGGACCGGCUAAUUCCGUG
This 492-nucleotide ribosomal RNA is filed under the name uncultured bacterium. RNAcentral's name for it is "partial 16S ribosomal RNA". It matches the Rfam family "Bacterial small subunit ribosomal RNA", at positions 28 to 507 of the family's 1533-position model. The record is from RNAcentral.